This 473-nucleotide ribosomal RNA is filed under the name uncultured bacterium. Its description in RNAcentral is "SSU rRNA". It matches the Rfam family "Bacterial small subunit ribosomal RNA", at positions 26 to 518 of the family's 1533-position model. The record is from RNAcentral.
AGGACGAACGCUGGCGGCGUGCUUAACACAUGCAAGUCGAGCGAGGCCCUUCCUUCGGGAAGGUGCCCUAGCGGCGAACGGGUGAGUAACACGUGGGCAACCUGCCCCUAGCACUGGGAUAACUCCGGGAAACUGGGGCUAAUACCGGAUAUUACCUUCUUGGGCAUCCUCGAAGGUGUAAAGGAUUCUGGCUAGGGAUGGGCCCGCGGCCUAUCAGCUUGUUGGUGGGGUAACAGCCUACCAAGGCGACGACGGGUAGCCGGCCUGAGAGGGUGUCCGGCCACACUGGGACUGAGAUACGGCCCAGACUCCUACGGGAGGCAGCAGUGGGGAAUAUUGCACAAUGGGCGCAAGCCUGAUGCAGCAACGCCGCGUGAGGGACGACGGCCUUCGGGUUGUAACCUCUUUAGUAGGAAGAGCGAAAGUGACGGUACCUGCAGAAAAGCACCGGCUAACUACGUGCCAGCAGCCGC